AUUGAACGCUGGCGGAAUGCUUUACACAUGCAAGUCGAACGGUAGAGGGGGCAACCCUUGAGAGUGGCGAACGGGUGAGUAAUAUAUCGGAACGUGCCCAGUCGUGGGGGAUAACGUAGCGAAAGUUACGCUAAUACCGCAUACGAUCUAGGGAUGAGCCCGCGUAGGAUUAGCUAGUUGGUGAGGUAAAGGCUCACCAAGGCUACGAUCCUUAGCUGGUCUGAGAGGAUGAUCAGCCACACUGGGACUGAGACACGGCCCAGACUCCUACGGGAGGCAGCAGUGGGGAAUUUUGGACAAUGGACGAAAGUCUGAUCCAGCCAUUCCGCGUGCAGGAUGAAGGCCCUCGGGUUGUAAACUGCUUUUGUACGGAACGAAAAGGUUUCUCUUAAUACGAGGAGCUCAUGACGGUACCGUAAGAAUAAGCACCGGCUAACUACGUG
RNAcentral lists this ribosomal RNA (443 nucleotides) under uncultured bacterium. RNAcentral's name for it is "bacterial SSU rRNA". It matches the Rfam family "Bacterial small subunit ribosomal RNA", at positions 30 to 507 of the family's 1533-position model. The record is from RNAcentral.